GACGAACGCUGGCGGCGUGCUUAACACAUGCAAGUCGAACGAAGCUUGAUUACGGAUUCUUCGGAUGAAGUAUGAUAUGACUGAGUGGCGGACGGGUGAGUAACGCGUGAGUAACCUGCCCUUCAGAGGGGGAUAGCGUUUGGAAACGAACGGUAAUACCGCAUAAUGUAUUUUGACCGCAUGAUCGAAAUACCAAAGAUUUAUCGCUGAAGGAUGGACUCGCGUCUGAUUAGGUAGAUGGUGGGGUAACGGCCUACCAAGACGACGAUCAGUAGCCCGACUGAUAAGAUGAUCGGCCACAUUGGGACGGAGACACGGCCCAGACUCCUACGGGAGGCAGCAGUGGGGAAUAGUGGACAAUGGGCGCGAGCCUGAUGCAGCAACGCCGCGUGAAGGAAGACGGUUUUCGGAUUGUAAACUUCUGUUCUUAGUGAAGAAUAAUGACGGUAGCUAAGGAGCAAGCCACGGCUAACUACGUG
This 479-nucleotide ribosomal RNA is filed under the name uncultured bacterium. RNAcentral describes it as "partial 16S ribosomal RNA". It matches the Rfam family "Bacterial small subunit ribosomal RNA", at positions 28 to 507 of the family's 1533-position model. The record is from RNAcentral.